AGUGAACGCUGGCGGCAGGCCUAAUACAUGCAAGUCGAACGGCAGCACAGCAGAGCUUGCUCUGUGGGUGGCGAGUGGCGGACGGGUGAGGAAUACAUGGGAAUCUGCCCAGUCGUGGGGAUAACGUAGGGAAACUUACGCUAAUACCGCAUGCGCCCUUCGGGGAAAGCCGGGGACCUUCGGGCCUGGCGCGAUUGGAUGAGCCCAUGUCGGAUUAGCUAGUUGGCGGGGUAAUGGCCCACCAAGGCGACGAUCCGUAGCUGGUCUGAGAGGAUGAUCAGCCACACUGGAACUGAGACACGGUCCAGACUCCUACGGGAGGCAGCAGUAGGGAAUAUUGGACAAUGGGCGCAAGCCUGAUCCAGCCAUGCCGCGUGAGUGAAGAAGGCCCUCGGGUUGUAAAGCUCUUUUGUCCGGAAAGAAAAGACGCCGGGUUAAUACCCUGGUGUCCUGACGGUACCGGAAGAAUAAGCACCGGCUAACUUCGUGCCAGCAGCCGCGGUAAUC
RNAcentral lists this ribosomal RNA (507 nucleotides) under uncultured bacterium. RNAcentral's name for it is "bacterial SSU rRNA". It matches the Rfam family "Bacterial small subunit ribosomal RNA", at positions 29 to 525 of the family's 1533-position model. The record is from RNAcentral.